AUUUAAGUAGUUUAAUAAAAAUAGAAAUUUGUGAUUUUUCAGAUGCUGUAAGGUCUUAAGUU
RNAcentral lists this transfer RNA (62 nucleotides) under Antialcidas floripennae. Its description in RNAcentral is "tRNA-His". Lineage: Eukaryota; Metazoa; Arthropoda; Insecta; Hemiptera; Membracidae. The record is from RNAcentral.